UAGGAAUCUUCGGCAAUGGGACGGAAGUCUGACCGAGCAACGCCGCGUGAGUGAAGAAGGUUUUCGGAUCGUAAAGCUCUGUUGUUGGAGAAGAAUGAUGGUGGGAGUGGAAAAUCCACCAUGUGACGGUAACUAACCAGAAAGGGACGGCUAACUACGUGCCAGCAGCCGCGGUAAUACGUAGGUCCCGAGCGUUGUCCGGAUUUAUUGGGCGUAAAGCGAGCGCAGGCGGUUCUUUAAGUCUGAAGUUAAAGGCAGUGGCUCAACCAUUGUACGCUUUGGAAACUGGAGAACUUGAGUGCAGAAGGGGAAAGUGGAAUUCCAUGUGUAGCGGUGAAAUGCGUAGAUAUAUGGAGGAGCACCGGUGGCGAAAGCGGCUCUCUGGUCUGUAACUGACGCUGAGGCUCGAAAGCGUGGGGAGCAAACAGGAUUAGAUACCCUGGUAGU
RNAcentral lists this ribosomal RNA (447 nucleotides) under uncultured Streptococcus sp. Its description in RNAcentral is "bacterial SSU rRNA". It matches the Rfam family "Bacterial small subunit ribosomal RNA", at positions 356 to 794 of the family's 1533-position model. Lineage: Bacteria; Bacillati; Bacillota; Bacilli; Lactobacillales; Streptococcaceae. The record is from RNAcentral.